GGGCUAUUAGCUCAGUGGUAGAGCGCGCCCCUGGGCGAGGUCUCUGGUUCAAAUCCAGGAUGGCCCA
This 67-nucleotide transfer RNA is filed under the name Capparis spinosa var. spinosa. RNAcentral describes it as "tRNA-Ile". It matches the Rfam family "tRNA". From Rfam's summary of the family: Transfer RNA (tRNA) molecules are approximately 80 nucleotides in length. Their secondary structure includes four short double-helical elements and three loops (D, anti-codon, and T loops). The record is from RNAcentral. Lineage: Eukaryota; Viridiplantae; Streptophyta; Magnoliopsida; Brassicales; Capparaceae.